UAGCUCAGCUGCUGCUCC
Molecule: non-coding RNA, 18 nt
Filed under: Mus musculus (house mouse)
Lineage: Eukaryota; Metazoa; Chordata; Mammalia; Rodentia; Muridae
Source: RNAcentral